GGGGGUGUUCUGGUUUCGACAGGGAUGUGUUUGAUACGGAUUGCAGCCGAGUGAUUACGUAAUAAUCAACUUAAAUUAAACGCAAAAACUAAAUUAGCUAACGUGUUCGGUGCAAACCGUGCCGUUGCUUUCGCUGCUUAAUAACCGACGAUAGGUUCGCAGCCUCCUUGGGACAGAGUGUUCUGCGCUGUUCCUUGUGAGCUUUAUUCAGUGGAACUUAAGGUAUUGGAAUUGUUUCGAUCCAAUGCACGAAAAUUUAGAAACACAUUCGGCAGAUGUUUGCUCAUGCACAAACUGCCGGAUUAUUCAGCCAUGAGAUAAGCUGUAGAGAUCCGUAUGUGGAACCGUUUCUGGACAGGGGUUCGAUUCCCCUCACCUCCACCA
This 384-nucleotide transfer-messenger RNA is filed under the name uncultured Merdibacter sp. It matches the Rfam family "transfer-messenger RNA". From Rfam's summary of the family: Bacterial tmRNA, also known as 10Sa RNA or SsrA, is named for its dual tRNA and mRNA-like properties. Its role is to liberate the mRNA from a stalled ribosome. To accomplish this part of the tmRNA is used as a reading frame that ends in a translation stop signal. Lineage: Bacteria; Bacillati; Bacillota; Erysipelotrichia; Erysipelotrichales; Erysipelotrichaceae. The record is from RNAcentral.